UACGUAGGUGGCAAGCGUUGUCCGGAUUUACUGGGCGUAAAGGGAGCGUAGGUGGAUAUUUAAGUGGGAUGUGAAAUACUCGGGCUUAACCUGGGUGCUGCAUUCCAAACUGGAUAUCUAGAGUGCAGGAGAGGAAAGUAGAAAUUCCUAGUGUAGCGGUGAAAUGCGUAGAGAUUAGGAAGAAUACCAGUGGCGAAGGCGACUUUCUGGACUGUAACUGACACUGAGGCUCGAAAGCGUGGGGAGCAAACAGG
This 254-nucleotide ribosomal RNA is filed under the name uncultured bacterium. RNAcentral describes it as "partial 16S ribosomal RNA". It matches the Rfam family "Bacterial small subunit ribosomal RNA", at positions 524 to 776 of the family's 1533-position model. The record is from RNAcentral.